Osmerus eperlanus (European smelt) is the source of this 383-nucleotide long non-coding RNA. RefSeq lists it as uncharacterized. The transcript is spliced from 3 exons. The record is from RefSeq and is a predicted model, not a curated record. Lineage: Eukaryota; Metazoa; Chordata; Actinopteri; Osmeriformes; Osmeridae.
GAUUUCUGGAUGGACCACAAAACCGAAAAUGGCCAACAAGAUGUUCAUGAUGAGGAAACUGACGUGGUGCCGGUGACAGUGUUCCAUCCCACUGUGACCAUGUUCAACGUCACCAGGGUGACUCUUCAGCAGUGUUGCCCUGGGACCCAGCGUACCUGGUCAUCGUGGAGCACAAUCUCUGGGCCGUGGGACUUGGUGUGGCGCCGUUCCGGCUGGUGGCGACCAUCAGGAGCUGGCCAGGGCGCAUGCGGCCGCAGGGGAGAGGAGGAGCCACGAGGACGCCUUCCACACCUGCUGGAGGAGCCCAGAGAAGGAGAACGGAGCGCUGAGGAAACAGCAGCGCUUCCUCUGCAAUGCUGCCAAGGUUUUGAAGGGCAAACACC